UACAGAGGUCUCAAGCGUUGUUCGGAUUCAUUGGGCGUAAAGGGUGCGUAGGCGGCGCGGUAAGUCGGGUGUGAAAUCUUGGAGCUUAACUCCGAAACUGCAUUCGAUACUGCCGUGCUUGAGGACUGGAGAGGAGACUGGAAUUUACGGUGUAGCGGUGAAAUGCGUAGAUGUCGUAAGGAAGACCAGUGGCGAAGGCGGGUCUCUGGACAGUUCCUGACGCUGAGGCACGAAGGCCAGGGGAGCAAACGGG
This 253-nucleotide ribosomal RNA is filed under the name uncultured bacterium. RNAcentral's name for it is "partial 16S ribosomal RNA". It matches the Rfam family "Bacterial small subunit ribosomal RNA", at positions 524 to 776 of the family's 1533-position model. The record is from RNAcentral.